This 72-nucleotide transfer RNA is filed under the name Ophiophagus hannah (king cobra). It matches the Rfam family "tRNA". From Rfam's summary of the family: Transfer RNA (tRNA) molecules are approximately 80 nucleotides in length. Their secondary structure includes four short double-helical elements and three loops (D, anti-codon, and T loops). Lineage: Eukaryota; Metazoa; Chordata; Lepidosauria; Squamata; Elapidae. The record is from Rfam by way of RNAcentral.
UCCUCGUUAUUAUAGUGGUACAUAUCCCCGCCUGUCACACGGGAGACUGGGGUUCGAUUCCCCAACAGGGAG